CAAUGCAGCCAGGCAUCCUGUUAAAGUCAACUGGAAGCGGAGCAUCACCCACUCAUUUCUGUAAUUUCGCUCUCUGUGACCAGAACAGAGCAAGACACACCAAUAAAGCAUGGAGACAUUACAUGAUGACCUCUUCUUGGGCCCGCCUCUUGCCACACAUACACACCCACUGUCUACAGAUGUGCACAUUUGUGGUGAAAGGAUGUUAUCAGUUUAUUACAGGAGGAUCCAGUGAUGUAUGGCAUACCGUAAAUUCUCGCUGCUCGGUUAUUAAAAGUCAUUGAUGCGGGGACACUGAAUCAUGCAGGGGCAAAGGCCUAGGAGCCGGUCAGUAAACCUGCACAAUCAACUCUGCACCACAUCCCCCAUCAGAAUAAAUACAGUGGCAGCCUAUAGAUCAGGAUGAUGGUACCAUAUGUGUAGUGCCACGAGUUCACUCCAGCCAUAUAGGCAUGUAGGCAUGUUUAUUUUUUGUAGGAUUACAGAGAAGGGUGUAGUGAAAAGUCUAUUCUAUGGUUCAUUG
Long non-coding RNA from Perca fluviatilis (European perch), 523 nucleotides. RefSeq lists it as uncharacterized. The record is from RefSeq and is a predicted model, not a curated record. NCBI's taxonomy places the organism in Eukaryota, Metazoa, Chordata, Actinopteri, Perciformes, Percidae. The transcript has 3 exons.